AGAAGAAGCACCGGCUAACUACGUGCCAGCAGCCGCGGUGAUACGUAGGGUGCGAGCGUUGUCCGGAAUUACUGGGCGUAAAGAGCUCGUAGGUGGUUUGUCGCGUCGUCUGUGAAAUCCCGGGGCUUAACCUCGGGCGUGCAGGCGAUACGGGCAUAACUUGAGUGCUGUAGGGGAGACUGGAAUUCCUGGUGUAGCGGUGGAAUGCGCAGAUAUCAGGAGGAACACCAGUGGCGAAGGCGGUUCUCUGGGCCUUUCCUGACGCUGAGGAGCGAAAGCGUGGGGAGCGAACAGGCUUAGAUACCCUGGUAGUCCACGCUGUAAACGGUGGGUACUAGGUGUGGGGUCCAUUCCACGGGUUCCGUGCCGUAGCUAACGCUUUAAGUACCCCGCCUGGGGAG
RNAcentral lists this ribosomal RNA (401 nucleotides) under Thalassiosira gravida. RNAcentral describes it as "partial Bacterial small subunit ribosomal RNA". It matches the Rfam family "Bacterial small subunit ribosomal RNA", at positions 483 to 880 of the family's 1533-position model. Lineage: Eukaryota; Bacillariophyta; Thalassiosirophyceae; Thalassiosirales; Thalassiosiraceae. The record is from RNAcentral.